CGUCGGAAGAGAGCAAAACGAUCUCUAUUAGAAGCAAGCAGGGCGACACUUGGGACCCAAGUGCAGCUACCACGUGGGAAGUCUGAAAGCCUCCAGGGCUUGGCAUGGAAGCAUGAAAACUUGUGGACUCAUGGUGCCGGAACUUAAAUCUCUUCAUGUCUGGCUCUAUGGAUAUGGAAUACAUGGCAUGCUUGUUGUGUGUGUGAUGAACACGGGGCAUUCAUCACUGUGAUUGAUUGACACAGACGGACUGAAGCUCUAACAGAAUUGGUAACCCUCUUUGCAAGGAUUGCUUAGAAAGACUUGGUUGUUCACCUUUAUGUGUGCUUUGGUCACACAAACCACCUAUUUUUUUUUUAGAUUCAGUACCAAAUAAUAGGGAACUUAUCAAGUAAAAGGUGCUACUUUUAAUUUACUGAGAUUUGCUGUGAUCUAAA
Physcomitrium patens is the source of this 437-nucleotide non-coding RNA. NCBI's taxonomy places the organism in Eukaryota, Viridiplantae, Streptophyta, Bryopsida, Funariales, Funariaceae. The record is from RefSeq and is a predicted model, not a curated record.